AAUUGAAAUGGGUUGCUUGUCGAUUAACUGGAAGAAACCGGGGAACGAAAGAAAGUUGUGUUUCUCUUAACGGAUUACGUACCCAAUAUUUUGUACUUGGAAAGCGCAACGAAAGCUGACUCAAAAUCUUGCAUGAUGAUGCUGUUUGGGCCCCCUGGUUGUACAUAGGAAGUGGACUCCUCGAGAAGAUGAAAGGUCUGCUUUACAUCAUUUUCAAUGAAAGUACAAGUACUUUGAGAAGUAGGAGAAGCUAAGCAACAGAACAGAAUUCAUUUGGGUCAUUGAUGUCUAGAUUAUAUAGUGGAUUCAUAGAUUGUCAUAUUGAUUUAUGUGCAUAUGAGCACAGAGGAGCAGUAGUCAAUGAAUAAUUUUGUG
Molecule: long non-coding RNA, 375 nt
Organism: Mytilus californianus (California mussel)
Lineage: Eukaryota; Metazoa; Mollusca; Bivalvia; Mytilida; Mytilidae
Exons: 3
Source: RefSeq, a predicted model, not a curated record